RNAcentral lists this ribosomal RNA (645 nucleotides) under Triticum aestivum (bread wheat). RNAcentral's name for it is "partial small subunit ribosomal RNA". Lineage: Eukaryota; Viridiplantae; Streptophyta; Magnoliopsida; Poales; Poaceae. The record is from RNAcentral.
AUGCAGAAAGAUGAUCUUUGGACUGAGUUGAAGGCAAAUUUCACCCUACCGCCAGAGGAGGAUCCGGAGAAGCCAGUUAUAGAGCAAUUAAUCAAGUCUCAUGCUCUUAAGAAGAUGGCCGACCUAUUCAGGAGGUGGAAGAAUGAGCUGAAAACGUUUGUCGACAAAGAAGAGACACCAGAAUUCAUCGGCUGGUAUGAGAAGAUCAGAGAUCACUGGCCCGCAUUUGUGGCCCACAAGACAUCGGAAAAGAGUAAGAAGAUGUCAGCGACAAACAAGAAGAAUGCUGCAAAGAAGAAGCUUCACCAUCGCACGGGGUCAGGUGGCUACCUCAAAGCCCGACCUAAGUGGGCCAAGGCUGAGAAUGAUCUGCUUGAAAAAGGGAUCGAACCACAGACAAUGAACUGGACAGACCGUUGCCGGACUUGGUUCUUCGGGGCUAGCGGAACCUUGGACCCUGUAUCAGGGAGGUGCGUUUGGAUGAACGAGCUUUUGAGAAUACCAGUCAAGAAGAUUCAGCAAUAUAUCGAUGCAGCACAGGAAGGGACGUUCGUUCCAGACAGAGAGAACGACGAGCUCACAAUGGCCCUCGGGAAUCCUGAGCACCCUGGACGGACACGAGGCACGCCAGGCUCCGUUCCGUGA